CCUACGGGGGGCAGCAGUGGGGAAUAUUGCGCAAUGGGCGAAAGCCUGACGCAGCGACGCCGCGUGAGGGAUGAAGGUCUUCGGAUCGUAAACCUCUUUCAGCAGGGAAGAACGGUCACUGUGCUAAUCAGCAGUGACUUGACGGUACCUGCAAAGGAAGCACCGGCUAACUCCGUGCCAGCAGCCUCGUUAAUACGGAGGGUGCGAGCGUUAAUCGGAAUUACUGGGCGUAAAGCGCUCGUAGGCGGUAUGUCAAGUCAAGGGUGAAAUCCCCGCGCUCAACGUGGGAACUGCCUUGGAAACUGGCAAACUGGAGUGUGUGAGAGGAUAGUGGAAUUCCAGGUGUAGGAGUGAAAUCCGUAGAUAUCUGGAGGAACAUCAGUGGCGAAGGCGACUAUCUGGCACAUAACUGACGCUGAGGAGCGAAAGCGUGGGUAGCAAACAGGAUUAGAUACCCGGGUAGUC
This 465-nucleotide ribosomal RNA is filed under the name uncultured bacterium. RNAcentral's name for it is "partial 16S ribosomal RNA". It matches the Rfam family "Bacterial small subunit ribosomal RNA", at positions 338 to 795 of the family's 1533-position model. The record is from RNAcentral.